RNAcentral lists this ribosomal RNA (497 nucleotides) under uncultured bacterium. RNAcentral describes it as "partial 16S ribosomal RNA". It matches the Rfam family "Bacterial small subunit ribosomal RNA", at positions 28 to 507 of the family's 1533-position model. The record is from RNAcentral.
GAUGAACGCUGGCGGCGUGCCUAAUACAUGCAAGUCGAGCGAACAGACGAGGAGCUUGCUCCUCUGACGUAAGCGGCGGACGGGUGAGUAAAACGUGGAUAACCUACCUAUAAGACUGGGAUAACUUCGGGAAACCGGAGCUAAUACCGGAUAAUAUAUUGAACCGCAUGGUUCAAUAGUGAAAGACGGUUUUGCUGUCACUUAUAGAUGGAUCCGCGCCGCAUUAGCUAGUUGGUAAGGUAACGGCUUACCAAGGCAACGAUGCGUAGCCGACCUGAGAGGGUGAUCGGCCACACUGGAACUGAGACACGGUCCAGACUCCUACGGGAGGCAGCAGUAGGGAAUCUUCCGCAAUGGGCGAAAGCCUGACGGAGCAACGCCGCGUGAGUGAUGAAGGUCUUCGGAUCGUAAAACUCUGUUAUUAGGGAAGAACAAAUGUGUAAGUAACUAUGCACGCCUUGACGGUACCCAAUCAGAAAGCCACGGCUAACUACGUG